AAAAGAGAGAGAGAGAGAGAGAGAGAGAGAGAGAAAGAAAAAAAAGGAGAGGAAGAAAGGAAAUCGCAGCCAUACGGGCUACGCUCCCCCGGCUGAACUGUAUCUGCGUUUUGAGCGGUGAGAGAGAGGGGAAGACGCGGCGUACGGCGACGCGCUCCUCCCUCCACCCUGCACCCUCAUCUGUCAGCCAUUAGUUAAUCAGGGCUUCCAAAGACGAGAGCACGGAGAGCUGGCACAACGCGUGGGACCAGAGGACAGCUUCACCUCUGAGAGCAAGAGGAGGGCAAGGACUCAGGGACCUCUGUUUCACUGAGCCACAGCUGGGCUGCUUCACUCAGCAGCACCCACUCAGGCGGCACCCUCAACAUGACCCCGCCCACUGCUUCACUGUGAACAGAUUUAAGUUUAAGACAUGAUCCACACUAAGGAGGACCAGGGAGUGUGGAGGGGCCGGCCCUCCCAGCCACCACUUCAGUUGCUCAAACUCAACUGGCAUAUGGGCAGGAUGAGGAAACGCAAGCUGAAUGAUGUCAGGACCAGGUGACCCCCGGGGUGACAGGUUUGGAGAAUGUUCUACCCUCAGGCCAAAGUCAAGUAUGUCAAUGUUGCGCAUGUGGAUUUCAUCUGAAGCAGCAGCAUGAUUAGUCCACAGACGCUCAACUGCGAUCCCCCUCCAUGGGAAAGCCUCUCCUGACAGGAAACGGCGUGUUUUUGUUAGCAACAAACAGGCAUAAAUUACUAAAAUGGUGCCUUGGUUGCCAAUUCAUCACACAGAGCCGUAUUGUUGUUCCUGCACACAUUUGACAUCGACAUGGCUUUAGGAUAAUUACCAUUACUUAAUGAUAUUUACAUUCUGGAGGGUUUAUGUUAAACUGUGUCUGCUAUUCUAAUUGUGUGCAAUAAAUGUGAUAAUUGUUUUGUGUCUUUUCUUUUUUACAAAUGACAAAAUGUGUUUCAAUGACCUGUACAUACAGCAAAAUAAAAAAUGAUCCAGGGAUGCGGAAGAAGGAAGGCAGCUAAUUUGAGAAAUCCUGGGAUGUUGUCAAUAAAGUGAAGCAAAGAUUGAAAUGCUAAAUUUGUAAAACUGUGUAAAUGUAUCAUUAAUAAAGCCAUUUCAUAUUUAGGUUUAAGAAAUGUUUCAUUUCAUGUAAGAGUUGGCUUGACUAGGAUGCCUUCAUGGUAUGUGUUGUGUUGACAUAUAUUUUCCAAGGAUUUAUGAGCUACUUCUGUAAACUGAUGUGACUGAUAUUGGUGCAAAAAUGAUGAAAAGUAAUUAGCAGAGAAUAAAAUAUUGGGGAUUGUACCAAGAGAAGAGGCCAUCACACGAGGUAAGACACCCACUGCAGCCAUGGCAAAUACAAAAGAGCAUCAGCUCCUACAAAUACUGACAUUUCAUCAGGAAUAUGUGUUCAGUCAUAAUUUUUUUAAAUGACUGGAAAUGUAAAAAUGAUAUUUGACUUUUUCUAUAAUAUAUGAACUUACUUGCAUGGAGGUAAAUUUAGAAUUGAUGUUUGCCAGUGAAUUAAGUUCAAUACAAUAUAGAAGUAAAUUGGAUAAACUCUAUUUCAUUGCAUUUGGUGUAUGAGAGGUUUCCUAUGGUCACAUUUCGUAACAUUGUCUAUUUUAGGUUUGCCUAUGUUUUAAUUCAAGUAUAUUUGAGUAUACUACUUUUUAACUGAUGCUUUUACUAAGCAAAUUUUCAUUGAAGUAUAACCUCUUCUAAUGUUAUAAUACAAUAGAAUAUUAAUUAAUAUCUAUAUUCAGGCAGGGCUUUUCUAUAAAUACUGGCAGAGCUUUGCUUUUGGAUCUCCUCAACUUAACAACCAUGCCAGCAUGAAUUAAUACCAAUUAUUGUUGUAGUAAAAGUAAUACUCUGGGUCUUCAGUCUUCUGCCAAACGCAUUACAGAGCGCUCCAUUAUUACAAUGGUAAACAGAUGUGCCACCCAGUGCCAAAGUUUGAUUUGGCCUGUGUAUGUUUUCUCCAGGGAGAUUGCAAAAUAAAAACGUCGAAGCACAUAAAAGGGAAAAGACCUGCAGUGUUUUUACACUACAUUAUACCAAAGUAUGUUAAGUACUACAGAUGCAACAGAAACAGGUCUAAGUGCAGCCCUCAGAGGUUGAGCUGUUGUGAAGAUUACUGAACAAGACAUCCAAACGGAGUGAAGUCAAUUGAGGGUCAAAUACCAAAAUACCACAUAAUGACCCAUGAGUCAAGUCCCUGACGAGUUGUUUACAGUAAAUCGCCUACACACCAUACACUGCCUAAGUAUACUGUACACAUAUUGCAUGCUCAUAUUGAACUAGUGGUGUACUAGAAAACUAUGAUAACUGCUGUACCUCAACAAAAACUGCUCCUCAAACAAGGCAAUAAACUUUAUAUUUCAACCCUCA
Hippoglossus stenolepis (Pacific halibut) is the source of this 2392-nucleotide long non-coding RNA. RefSeq lists it as uncharacterized. The record is from RefSeq and is a predicted model, not a curated record. The transcript is spliced from 3 exons. NCBI's taxonomy places the organism in Eukaryota, Metazoa, Chordata, Actinopteri, Pleuronectiformes, Pleuronectidae.